CAUUAAGAAGCUAAGUGAGCAUUAACCUUUUAAGUUAAAGACUGGGAAUUUUACCUCCCCUUAAUGA
Molecule: transfer RNA, 67 nt
Filed under: Xenogale naso (long-nosed mongoose)
Lineage: Eukaryota; Metazoa; Chordata; Mammalia; Carnivora; Herpestidae
Description: tRNA-Lys
Rfam family: tRNA
About the family: Transfer RNA (tRNA) molecules are approximately 80 nucleotides in length. Their secondary structure includes four short double-helical elements and three loops (D, anti-codon, and T loops).
Source: RNAcentral